GAACGCUGGCGGCGUGCCUAAUACAUGCAAGUCGAGCGAACAGAUAAGGAGCUUGCUCCUUUGACGUUAGCGGCGGACGGGUGAGUAACACGUGGGUAACCUACCUAUAAGACUGGGACAACUUCGGGAAACCGGAGCUAAUACCGGAUAAUAUGUUGAACCGCAUGGUUCAAUAGUGAAAGAUGGUUUUGCUAUCACUUAUAGAUGGACCCGCGCCGUAUUAGCUAGUUGGUGAGGUAACGGCUCACCAAGGCAACGAUACGUAGCCGACCUGAGAGGGUGAUCGGCCGCACUGGAACUGAGACACGGUCCAGACUCCUACGGGAGGCAGCAGUAGGGAAUCUUCCGCAAUGGGCGAAAGCCUGACGGAGCAACGCCGCGUGAGUGAUGAAGGUCUUAGGAUCGUAAAACUCUGUUAUUAGGGAAGAACAAACGUGUAAGUAACUGUGCACGUCUUGACGGUACCUAAUCAGAAAGCCACGGCUAACUACGUGCCAGCAGCCGCGGUAAUACGUAGGUGGCAAGCGUUAUCCGGAAUUAUUGGGCGUAAAGCGCGCGUAGGCGGUUUUUUAAGUCUGAUGUGAAAGCCCACGGUCAACCGUGGAGGGUCAUUGGAAACUGGAAAACUUGAGUGCAGAAGAGGAAAGUGGAAUUCCAUGUGUAGCGGUGAAAUGCGCAGAGAUAUGGAGGAACACCAGUGGCGAAGGCGACUUCUGGUCUGUAACUGACGCUGAUGUGCGAAAGCGUGGGGAUCACCGGGAUUAGAUACCCUGGUAAGUCCACGCCCGGUAAACGAUGAAGUGCUAAAGUGGUUAAGGGGGGUUUCC
Molecule: ribosomal RNA, 827 nt
Filed under: uncultured Staphylococcus sp.
Lineage: Bacteria; Bacillati; Bacillota; Bacilli; Caryophanales; Staphylococcaceae
Description: bacterial SSU rRNA
Rfam family: Bacterial small subunit ribosomal RNA
Source: RNAcentral